GUGUCAGCAGCCGCGGUAAAACGUAGGAGGCGAGCGUUAUCCGGAUUUACUGGGUGUAAAGCGCGUGCAGGCGGUUCUGUAAGUGGGGUGUGAAAGCGCUCGGCUCAACCGGGCGAGGACGUUCCAGACUGCAGAACUAGAGGCAGGCAGAGGCGUGUGGAAUUCCGGGUGUAGUGGUGAAAUGCGUAGAUAUCCGGAGGAACACCAGUGGCGAAGGCGACACGCUAGGUCUGAACUGACGCUCAGACGCGAAAGCAUGGGGAGCGAACGGGAUUAGAUACCCGCGUAGUCC
This 292-nucleotide ribosomal RNA is filed under the name uncultured bacterium. RNAcentral's name for it is "partial 16S ribosomal RNA". It matches the Rfam family "Bacterial small subunit ribosomal RNA", at positions 505 to 796 of the family's 1533-position model. The record is from RNAcentral.